Sus scrofa (pig) is the source of this 7657-nucleotide long non-coding RNA. RefSeq lists it as uncharacterized. The record is from RefSeq and is a predicted model, not a curated record. Lineage: Eukaryota; Metazoa; Chordata; Mammalia; Artiodactyla; Suidae.
CCGCAGGAGCGGCCCAAGAAAUGGCAAAAAGACCAAAAAAAAAAAAAAAAAAGUUCUUAUGAUUGAUCAAAGAAAAAACAGGUUCUUUGGAUUCUUUGUGGCAGGAAACAUUGAGCUCACCUUUUGGGGAAACAACUUAUAGGCAAAAUAAAGAAGCUUCUUGACAAUAAACCAUUCUAGCAGCAUUUUUCAAAAUAUGACCCAUGGACUGGGGAAGGGUGAGAAAGAGUGAGAAAGAGGACUAUUAAUAAUUAUGCUGUAAACCAUGUAGGCAGGUGUAAACUGGGACUGUCCUGGGCAAAUGGGGCUUGACUGACCAUGGAAUGACCAGCAGAAUUGCCUGAGAUCCUGGUUAAAUGCAGGUUGCUGGGCUCUGCCUCAGCCCUGCUGUUUCAGAUUCUUUGAGGUGAAGGCCUAGGAGUCUUUAGCUUAACAAAUGCCCCAGGAACAUUCUUUUUAAAAAGUUGGGAAAUGCAGCCAUAUGGAUUAGGCAGAAGGUAAAAAACGUGAAAUUUUCAAUUAAAGAGCUAUUAGUUCCAUGGUUCCUUCUGAGGAGCUGGUGCAACACUGACACCAGAACCUAGUGCCUCCAAAGACACUUGGCUGCGAUUAGGUACUUCCUGAAUAACGGAGAUGGUGUCUUCAUAUUUACCAAUGUGUCAUUCUUUCACUAAAUAUUCAGUGAUGAACGGGCAUCUUUUAAAAUUUUGAGAGCCACGUAAUUGCUGUCUGUAUGUUCAUCACUAAUAAGAGACAAAACUUCUAGAAAGUUCGAGGCAAGAAACUUGGGUUUGGGAGUUCCCGUCGUGGCUCAGUGGUAAUGAACCCGACGAGUAUCCAUGAGGACUCAGGUUGGACCCAUGGCCUCGCUCAGUGGGUUAAGGAUCCCGAGUUGCCAUGAGCUGUGGUGUAGGUCACAGACACAGCUCGGAUCCCGUGUUGCUGUGGCUCUGGUACAGGCCAGCAGCUCUGAUUUGACCUCCAUAUGCUGUGGGCGGGACCCUAAAAAGAUCAAAAAGAAACUUGGGUUUGAAUGAGUCUUGGGGGGUAUUAAUGUCAGAAAAUUAACACUUUUAGCUCUGCUACCAGCUGGCUGUGCUUCAGUUUGUCAUCUAUUAAAUUAGGGAGCUGGACUGCCUGGUUCCAGGGUUCUUUGCAGGUCUGAUGUUUUAGGGCCCUCUCUAGAACCUAAAAUGGGAAGCAGUUACGAAUCAACUGCUUUCAUGUUGUGAUGUAUUUUGCCCAAAAAAUGCCAAACCUGUGACUCUUGAAAGUGACAGUGGUUUUAGAAUUUUGAAAUUGUCCAUCUGUAUUUUACCCACAGUCACUAUGCUAACACAUCAUUCACAAUGAGGAAGAGCAUUCUCGUAGAAGCCACUUCCGCCCUGUUUUGAAAUUCAGAAAGUAAGUAUGGUUUAGACUCACAGAAGAGACCCUCACUGAAGAGUCUGCGGUCCCAUGAAAUUACUGCAGAGCAUUGCCCUGUAGUGUCCAUUUUUACUUCCUUGUCCUUCAUUUCAAAAUGCUUUCUGAAGGCUUGACAACAGCAAAAGAAUGUUUGCAAAUGAUUAUGCGCUGAUAUUGUCAGAUGUCCCCUUCAUAAUAACACGGAGAUGUAUUCUUCGAUCACAUGGAUAAGUCAUGAAGCAUCGCGUAGGAGGUGUUGCCUCUGGGAAGGGUUUCUCUAGACCACUGUCCACCACUAGAACUCUGAUGAUGGGCAUGUGUUCUAUCUUUUCCGUCCAAUAUGGUCACCACUAGCCACCUGCACACUUAAAAUGUGGUGAGUUCAACCGGGGAGCUGAAUUUUUAAUUGGUGUUCAUCUAUUUUUAAAUAGCCACCUGUGGUUAGUGACAACCAUAGUGGACAGUGCAGCUAGAUACGGCCAUUACGCACUGUUGAAUUUUGAAAAAUUAACAUCGAGUACCUAUUUUUACCAGUCAUUGGGCUGGGUGCGUGACGGUACCUUUGUCGUUUCUAAACAUUGGUCUUAAAAUGAAUCCUUUGCCCUCUGCCUACUGAUGACACGUUCAUCAACAUGACAGUCUCUCCUUGGAUAAGAAAAUAACAAAGUGAUACCUAGACCUUUUCCUGUCAUAGCUGCCUGGCAUGUCAGUUCUCGUCUUUGCUCCAAAAGGCAUUGAUGGUCAACCUCUUUGAGUUAAGUUCUCUCAGAGGUUCACUUUGUUCCCUGAGUUGAAGUAUUAAGUAGAGCCCAGGUCUCAGCCUGGCCAUAGCAGAAUCUCCAAGUCCGGGACCCUGUUUCAGAUCUAUCCUGUCAUAUCAUGUCUUUUUUAAAAGAGUUCACUAGGAGAUUCUAACAUGUGAGAGGAUUGAAAACCACUGAUCAAAAGAAAAAAAAUUUGUAAAAAAAAAAAAGGAGUUCCUGCUGUGGCACAGUGGGUUAAGGAUAUGGUGUUGCCACAGCUUUGGUGUUGGUCAAAGCUGCAGCUCAGAUUCAGUCCCUGGCCUGGGAACUUCCAUAUGCUAUGGGUGCAGCCAAAAAAGAAAAAAAAAAGAAAAAAUCCACCCAUCAAGUCCAAACCCUGACCAGCCUUUGAGAAUAGCUAAGAUGCUGGCAGCAGCAACUCCUGUUCCCUGGCACAGAGCAGGUCUAGGGUCCUGGCAGUUUUAUUGAUGUUCUAUUUAACAGGUAAUUGGAAAAUACUUAAGAGAAAAGGCUUUGUCGAUUCGAAUUUAGGGCAGCUGAGCAGCUUUGCUGUUUCCCUCUGUGCAAGAAACUGUACGCUAAGCUCAUUGCUACUCUUAGUGUUUUCUGGCAUUCUUGUCCAAACAGAAUUGCUAGUCUCAAACAAACAUGUUAAUGAUUUCAACAACAGUGACGGAUGCAGAAGCAUCCAGUAGUUCCUUAGUAACAGUUUAACAGUAUAAUUAUUUCUAAAGUUAUAGAUAAUUAUUGUUACCCUAGCACAAUAAUUGGAACAGAGUUUCUUACAUGAAAACUGCUCUUUUCCUAGGGCUUCAACUGGUAACAAAAUAAUAGUUUGUGAGAGCAGAUACUGCCCCAUUAUUCAGUGAGAGAAGUCCGACAGCAACCCUGCAAUCAAAGACUCCAAGGUGAGACCUCAGAUGACCAUCUCAUCCAUAGAACAGCUCUGUCCAACUAGGGGAGUUUAUUCCAGGCCAGACUCGUGUCGGGUAAGGCCUUGAAGGAGAGAAUGUGCUGAUACCUAAUGACUUAGCCAGCUCGCCCAGCGCCUUCCUAUUCACGGACCAGCAGAGAGGUGACACCACCAGCCUUCGCCAUUCAGCGUUCUUAACGAGUGGUUUCUAAUCAAUAGAAAGUCUGCUUUUUUAAAUCCAUUUUUCCUAUUUUCCCCCACGCUGAGCAGGAGUUAGCAAUCUUAACAGUCUGAGAAAGAGCACUCCGUCCCAAAGAGAUUAGGAGAAUAAGGUGGAAUUAGCAAGUUAGUAAAAUCACUGUAAAAAUCUAUUUGGCAGAAUCUGAAACAUGGACUGUUCUUCUAGAGAUCAGUCAAGUCAGAGGCAGGGCCAGUCAGGAGAGUCCAGAGUUUAGGGUCAAGCUACUGAACUGAAAUUGGGGUGGCGAGGAGGGAUUAUGGCCUCUUUAGUCUUUGUAUCCCCAGCACCUAGAAGCUCGCUCAAAUGUUUGUUGAAUGCUUCAGAUAGGAAUGUAUGAAAGACCUUAAAUUCAAAUGCAGAUCAGGAAGUUCCCUUGUGGUGCAGUGGGUUAAGGAUCCAGCAUUGCUGCAGCUGUGGCACAGGUUGCUGCUGUGGCGCAGGUUUGAGCCCUGGCCUGGGAAGUUACACAUGCUAUGGAUGCAGCCAAAAAAAAAAAAAAAAAAAAAAAAAAAAGCAGGUCCAAGGCAACAAUGGGAAAAUAAGUUACUCUAGAAAGGAGCAUGGCGUAUCCUGACACUGGAUGGCUGGAAUGAGUCCCAACUUAAACUGGCUGGAGUCAACAUCCAAGGACCAAGACAAAAAAUAAAGACAAAUAAAAUAAACCAGGGGGAGAUGAGGUAGCAAACAGGUUCUGCCUGCCAGCCGGAAACUAUUCCUGGGCUUGUUUCAGCCAAAUGUGUCCGGUGAUCAGACUUUGGUUAGAACGCUUGUACUGCUUGUCUUCUUGGUGUAGCCGCGUAUGAAUUAGGGGAAACAGACAGAAAGGGGGAGGUGAGCUCUUAAGCUUCCUUCUCUACCAGCCACAGCUGCAUGUUCAUGAGUUGAGGACCCAACACUUCCUCUUCUCAUGGACCAAUUAGCACGUUCACUUGGGUCCGACAUCGCCCAUUAUGCCUAUUUCAUGCAUUUCUUGUGGAUGUCAAGACUCAAGCAGGUUCCUCAUGAGUAGAUGUCGGGAUAUUAAAAAGAGGAGCAUGGAUCUAUCUGCAUGAGGAUUACUGCUCCUCAGUUCUUUUAGGACCUGGAGAAAGGUUCAUGGGCGUAUGACCAUUGUCUCCAGUCACCUUGUGGUGGACAGAAUUCUGCCUCCCCCACGAAGAUGUCCACAUCCCAGUCCUCAGAGCCCAGGAAUGACGGAAUUAACAUUGCUGAUGCCCAUAAAAUAGGGGGAGUGUCCUGGAUUAUCCAAGUGGGCCCAAUGUGUGAUCAUAAGGGCCCUUUUAGGCAGAGGAGAGAGGCAGCAGGAGUGUGAGAGGGAGGUGAUGUGACAAAGACCCGACUGGCCACUGCUGGCUUUGAAGAUGGAAGGAGGCCAUGAGCUAAGGAAUGCAGGCCAGAAAAUGCAAGAAAAUGGUUUCUCCCCUACAGCCGCCAGACAGGACUGGAGCCCUGCCAGCACCUUAAUUGCAGUCUAGUAAGACCCAUUUUGGACUCCGGACCUCCAGAACUGUAAAAUAAUACACCUGUGUUGUUUUAAGCCAUUGAAUUUGUUACAGCAGGAGGAAACUAAUACACACCCCUUCAACUUCUUUCAUCUGUGGUUAAUCCAUGGGUACCAGAGAUGGGGGGAAAUGGAGAAAGAAUCAGUGGCUCCGUUGUGUCAGUGUCAGUUGGUUGUGGUCGGGCUGGGAAAUGGCACAUCAACAUCUUUCCAGUAGAACAUGAUUACCAGGCAAGAAAGUCUGUUUAUCGCCUCAAGCUCUAUAAUGAGUCGUGUCCUGCCCCGUGCAUGGCAGAAGAUGACAGGUUCUUUUUUGAACUUGGAACUUUUAGAGUGACAAGUUCAUUUGCAAGAAGUUGAAAAGGUCACUGUGGAAAGGGUCAAGUAUCCCAGCUCUUUCAGGUACGGAUUCAAUAAUUCUUUUAAAAUGGAAGGUUACAUAUCAACUAUUUCAGUUAUGUGUAAUCUCUCCCUCAGAACUCAGCCUUGGUGAAUAGAGUACAGUAAUGUUGCAGGUUGAUUCCUUUCCCUGCCCCCUAAGAAAGACAGUGAAGGCAUGGAAAAUAAAUACUGCUUUUAGGAGACAAGUCAACCCUACUCUGAACGCUUCUCAAGUUUCCCACAUUUGGCAUCUGCAGCUGAUAUUCAACCAAUAUGGUGUUUUUUCUACAAUGUAAAUUGUGGCAGUGCAGGGCCUAACAUAAAGAUCAUUUGGGACCUGUGAAUAUUUACGCUGUUAGUGAGAUAAAUUUCAGAUUUUACUGGUUCUAUAUUGCUUUUCACUUGAUGGUUUCUUAAAGAAUCUGAUCACUGGGUAUACAUUGGUGCUUAUGAACUCUCACUCUUGGUCUGAAAAGCAUCUCUGUAGGAGUCUUUUUAUUCUAAUAGCUUCUGCUGAAUACCUGGAGAAGUUGCUUAAACCUAAUUUCCAGUCACCAGUGAGGACUCCAAUCCAAGAGAAGUGUGCGUAAAUAUUUUUCAUAGUGUACCUUUUAAUCCUAGGAAUUUAUUAACAAAGGCUCGUUCUCUUUGGGGCAACUACCGGAGCUCUUAAACAUGAGUUUUAUUAUGCCUUAGAACUGAUUUCCCCUUGCGAACAUCUCUGCGGUAUCGUGGAAGUCAAAAAGAAACCUCUAACUGUUACUCUGAAUACAGCCUGUCAAGAAUGUGUUUGAUCUGUGUGGCAAAACCAGAGUAAUACGGUCUACCAGUGAUAGGUAUUCUGUUUUUAUUUUUUUAAUUUAAUUUAAUUUUAUUUUCCCACUGUUCAGCAAGGGGAUCAAGUUAUCCUUACAUGCAUACCUUACAAUUACAUCCCCCCUCCCCUUUGUUCUGUUGCAACAUGAGUAUCUAGACAAAGGGUGUUCUGUUUUUAAAUGAAUUCCCUAGCUGCCUGCAGGCCUGGCUCUCUUCCUUCCAGGGUCGAGGCUAAUGUUAGAACUCUUGUUUCGAAGAGCUUAAACCUCGUCAGGUGGAGUUACCAGAGGCUCCUGAAUUCGGCUAGCGGAGGGCGUGAGGGCAAUGCUCCGAGCAUCAACAUCUUCAUUGCUGACAUCUGGGUCCUGACUUGGCGCCUCCACCCUCAUCGUUCUGCUUCCAGCUGAUCCGAGGAGCUUCUCCCCUGAGAGGGAAAAGUGGUCGAAGUGGCCACGCCCCAAUCUUUAGGUACAGGUGAAAAGUAGGCCGCCAGGCCGCAGCAGAUGAGAACGGUGGGUGGGCCCUGCGAGCCUGAGGUCUGAGCGCAGCCACCUCUCCAGCUUCCCGCUCUGUUGGGGAAGCACUUUCUCAUGGUGGCUCCGUGGCAGCAGGAGAGCUGGAGCAGCGUUCUCGACAAUGCAGGCUGCCUCACAAAUUCAGAGACCUUUACAGGCAAAGGAGACGUCUGAAACCAUUUCCUCUGACCCCGCCCCCCCCACCCCGGUUUUGCAAAAGCAGAGGCCAGAGAGGUGAAGUGGUUUGGUCAAGGUCAGAAGGCAAGUUGGCAGUGGAAAAUUCAACUGGGGUCCAGACUGGGCUCCCUCCGUGACCCCCGCUCCAGGGACCCUUCUGCCUGCGGUGCUGGGAACAGAGUACAGUGAAGCCAGGGCAGCAGCAGGGAGAACUGUUAAGAGCCCCCUGUGCUCAGAACCCAAGAAUGCGACGGCGCCCUGGACCCAGGUGAUGGCUGUGAGGACACUGAGAAAUGGAAGCCAGGUGCCAUGUUGUGAGGACACUUGGGCAGCCUUGUAGAAAGACCCACAUGGUGAGGUAUCCAGUCAAGAGUCAUGUGAGUGAGUGUGGAAGAGGAUCCUCCAGCCCCAAACGACUGUAGCUCCAGCUGAAAUCUUGACUGCCAACUUCAUAACAAGACCCCGAGUCAUUACCAUCCAGCUUGCCUGUUCUGGUGCCACUUGAACCUGACAUUUUCCCUUCGGUUCCCCAGUCUGUAUGAAACCAUGGAGCCUGGACUUCCAACACUCCCCGCCUCGCGAGGACAACUCAUAAUCACUGAUUUACGAUUAAUGAACCCGUCCUCAUUUUGAAGGCACUACUGAUCGAUUUGUGUAGGCUGCUGGAUAAUUGUGGCUGCACAUAAUUACAAGCAUCUAGUUCUGUAGAAAAAACUCACUCUUGGAAAAUACAGCGUCUAUUCUGGGGGAUGGAAAUGCUAUAUUUACUGAGUCUGGACACCUGUAUUUGCCUGGACUUUUAACAUCACCUCCGGCUACUGGGCUGCCCUCUUUGCUUUUUAACAGCUUGUUUUGCUUGCCUUAAAGAUUGUUUUAAUAGUUGCACUAUUAUUAAACUAACAGCAGCUCUGUGGGAACAAUACAGCAGAAAUACAAAAGGAA